RNAcentral lists this transfer RNA (72 nucleotides) under Camelus bactrianus (Bactrian camel). It matches the Rfam family "tRNA". Rfam says of the family: Transfer RNA (tRNA) molecules are approximately 80 nucleotides in length. Their secondary structure includes four short double-helical elements and three loops (D, anti-codon, and T loops). Further hydrogen bonds mediate the characteristic L-shaped molecular structure. tRNAs have two regions of fundamental functional importance: the anti-codon, which is responsible for specific mRNA codon recognition, and the 3' end, to which the tRNAs corresponding amino acid is attached (by aminoacyl-tRNA synthetases). tRNAs cope with the degeneracy of the genetic code in two manners: having more than one tRNA (with a specific anti-codon) for a particular amino acid; and 'wobble' base-pairing, i.e. permitting non-standard base-pairing at the 3rd anti-codon position. The record is from Rfam by way of RNAcentral. RNAcentral also lists the same sequence under 2 other names. Lineage: Eukaryota; Metazoa; Chordata; Mammalia; Artiodactyla; Camelidae.
GAGGGCAUAGCUCAGUGGUAGAGCGCAUGCUUAGCAUGCAGGAGGUCCUGGGUUCAAUCCCCAGUCCCUCCA